RNAcentral lists this ribosomal RNA (279 nucleotides) under uncultured soil bacterium. RNAcentral's name for it is "partial 16S ribosomal RNA". It matches the Rfam family "Bacterial small subunit ribosomal RNA", at positions 26 to 281 of the family's 1533-position model. The record is from RNAcentral.
AGAAUCAACGCUGGCGGCGUGCCUAACACAUGCAAGUCGAACGCGGUUAUUUCAGCUCCGCAAGGCGUUGGGAUAACUGAGUGGCGAACGGGUGAGUAACACGUGGGUGAUCUACCUUCGAGUGGGGGAUAACGUUCCGAAAGGAACGCUAAUACCGCAUGACGUUCUGGGUUUGAAGACCUGGAAACCAAAGCCGGGGACCGCAAGGCCUGGCGCUUGGAGAGGAGCCCGCGUCCGAUUAGCUAGUUGGCGGGGUAACGGCCCACCAAGGCGACGAUC